This 596-nucleotide ribosomal RNA is filed under the name Micromonospora sp. MP38-E11. RNAcentral's name for it is "bacterial SSU rRNA". It matches the Rfam family "Bacterial small subunit ribosomal RNA", at positions 279 to 885 of the family's 1533-position model. Lineage: Bacteria; Bacillati; Actinomycetota; Actinomycetes; Micromonosporales; Micromonosporaceae. The record is from RNAcentral.
ACGGGUAGCCGGCCUGAGAGGGCGACCGGCCACACUGGGACUGAGACACGGCCCAGACUCCUACGGGAGGCAGCAGUGGGGAAUAUUGCACAAUGGGCGGAAGCCUGAUGCAGCGACGCCGCGUGAGGGAUGACGGCCUUCGGGUUGUAAACCUCUUUCAGCAGGGACGAAGCGUAAGUGACGGUACCUGCAGAAGAAGCGCCGGCCAACUACGUGCCAGCAGCCGCGGUAAGACGUAGGGCGCGAGCGUUGUCCGGAUUUAUUGGGCGUAAAGAGCUCGUAGGCGGCUUGUCGCGUCGACCGUGAAAACCUGGGGCUCAACCCCAGGCCUGCGGUCGAUACGGGCAGGCUAGAGUUCGGUAGGGGAGACUGGAAUUCCUGGUGUAGCGGUGAAAUGCGCAGAUAUCAGGAGGAACACCGGUGGCGAAGGCGGGUCUCUGGGCCGAUACUGACGCUGAGGAGCGAAAGCGUGGGGAGCGAACAGGAUUAGAUACCCUGGUAGUCCACGCUGUAAACGUUGGGCGCUAGGUGUGGGGGGCCUCUCCGGUUCCCUGUGCCGCAGCUAACGCAUUAAGCGCCCCGCCUGGGGAGUACGG